Molecule: ribosomal RNA, 346 nt
Filed under: uncultured bacterium
Lineage: Bacteria
Description: bacterial SSU rRNA
Rfam family: Bacterial small subunit ribosomal RNA
Source: RNAcentral
AGCAGUAGGGAAUCUUCGGCAAUGGGAGAAAUCCUGACCGAGCAGUGCCGCGUGAAGGAAGAAGGUUUUCGGAUUGUAAACUUCUGUUGUAUAGGAAGAAUGGUAACUGGAGUGGAAAGCCAGUUAAAUGACGGUACUAUACUAGAAAGCCACGGCUAACUACGUGCCAGCAGCCGCGGUAAUACGUAGGUGGCAAGCGUUAUCCGGAAUUAUUGGGCGUAAAGAGUGAGCAGGCGGUUAGACAAGUCCAAGAUGAAAAGCUGUUGCUUAACGACAGUUGGUUUUGGAAACUGUAUAGCUAGAGUACAGGAGAGGUAAGCGGAAUUCCAUGUGUAGACGGUGAAAU